AAGGCUACGACGUCUAGGGGUUCUGAGAGGAAGAUCCCCCACACUGGUACUGAGACACGGACCAGACUCCUACGGGAGGCAGCAGAGAGGAAUAUUGGUCAAUGGGCGGGAGCCUGAACCAGCCAUCCCGCGUGCAGGAAGAAUGCCCUAUGGGUUGUAAACUGCUUUUUCGCAUGAAGAACACUCCGGUCGUGACCGGAGCUGACGGUAAUGCGUGAAUAAGCACCGGCUAACUCCGUGCCAGCAGCCGCGGUAAUACGGAGGGUGCAAGCGUUAUCCGGAUUUAUUGGGUUUAAAGGGUGCGUAGGCGGUGAUUUAAGUCAGUGGUGAAAUCCUGCAGCUCAACUGUAGAACAGCCAUUGAAACUGAAUUACUUGAGUAAUCUUGAGGUAGGCGGAAUGUGUAGUGUAGCGGUGAAAUGCUUAGAUAUUACACAGAACACCGAUUGCGAAGGCAGCUUACUAAGGAUUUACUGACGCUGAUGCACGAAAGCGUGGGGAUCAAACAGGAUUAGAUACCCUGGUGGUCCACGCCGUAAACGAUGAUAACUCGCUGUUGGCGAUACACAGUCAGCGGCUUAGCGAAAGCGUUAAGUUAUCCACCUGGGGAGUACGCUCGCAAGAGUGAAACUCAAAGGAAUUGACGG
RNAcentral lists this ribosomal RNA (646 nucleotides) under uncultured bacterium. Its description in RNAcentral is "bacterial SSU rRNA". It matches the Rfam family "Bacterial small subunit ribosomal RNA", at positions 270 to 916 of the family's 1533-position model. The record is from RNAcentral.